AAUACAAAUGUGUUUUUAAGAAUCGCGUUAACGUCUGUUAUCUAACGUAUUAUUAUAUUCUGCUUUUAUCUCGUAAUUAAAUCGUUAAAUAUGAGAGUCAAUCCAGAACACUGGAAUCUUUUUUUACAAAUGGCUGAAAUAAAUCCGGAACUGAUAACUAAUAAGUUUAAUGGUGUGCAAGGUAAGGCCCAAGGAAAUGCUUUAUGGCAGACAGCAGCAGAAAAACUAAACUCAUUAGGAUAUGGACAGAAGUCAGUACUUGAAUGGCGAAAAGCUGUAACAGAUUGGAAGUCGAAAGUAAAAGUUAAAGCAUAAAAAAUUCGAUGUCACCAAGUGCAAACUGGUGGUGGUGGUAUUAUUUGCACUCCAUUAUCCACAAUUGAAGAAAAACUACUAAGCAUAAUAGGGAAAAAAGCUUUGGAGGGAAAUCCAGAAGUUGUAGAACUAGGACAGAAUUUGCAAAUUUCGACUCCAUGUACCUCGGUUUCGGAAACUACAACAGAAUCCACUUUUAUUAUUAACAAAGAUACUGAUCAUACAUAUAUAAGUAAGCAGUCAUUGAUAAUAAAUAAAGACAAAUUCAACAGAAAUCAAUUAGAUAAUAGUGACAAAGGAAAUAAUUCUAAACAUAAGCGUUGUAAAGUAAGUAGUAUACAUGGUAUGUCUAAAAACUUACAGAACAUGAGCCAACAAACAAUUCAUAUCCUUGAAAAGAUAGACGUAAAUUUGGAAAAAAUUUGUAGAAAUUUGGACAGAAUUGCAGACUCGACAGAAGACUAAAGACUUAACUAAAGACUUAACUAAAAUUUUGAAAGAGAAUAAAUAAUUAACUGUG
Anoplophora glabripennis (Asian longhorned beetle) is the source of this 835-nucleotide long non-coding RNA. RefSeq lists it as uncharacterized. The record is from RefSeq and is a predicted model, not a curated record. NCBI's taxonomy places the organism in Eukaryota, Metazoa, Arthropoda, Insecta, Coleoptera, Cerambycidae. The transcript has 3 exons.